This 508-nucleotide ribosomal RNA is filed under the name uncultured bacterium. RNAcentral describes it as "partial 16S ribosomal RNA". The record is from RNAcentral.
GGAGUUAGCCGGUGCUUCUUCUGUGAGUGAUGUCCUUCCUGCCGGCUAUUAACCCGCAGGCCUUCUUCCUCACUGAAAGUGCUUUACAACCCGAAGGCCUUCUUCACACACGCGGCAUGGCUGGAUCAGGGUUGCCCCCAUUGUCCAAUAUUCCCCACUGCUGCCUCCCGUAGGAGUCUGGGCCGUGUCUCAGUCCCAGUGUGGCUGAUCAUCCUCUCAGACCAGCUACGGAUCGUCGCCUUGGUGAGCCGUUACCUCACCAACCAGCUAAUCCGACAUAGGCUCAUCCGAUAGCGCGAGGCCCGAAGGUCCCCCGCUUUCCCCCGUAGGGCGUAUGCGGUAUUAGCCUGGGUUUCCCCCAGGUUAUCCCCCACUACCGGGCAGAUUCCUAUGCAUUACUCACCCGUCCGCCGCUCGCCACCAGGGAGCAAGCUCCCCGUGCUGCCGCUCGACUUGCAUGUGUUAGGCCUGCCGCCAGCGUUCAAUCUGAGCCAUAAUCAAACUCUGA